UGGGAUGUUGCUCAGUGGUAGAGUGUGUGCUUAACACGCACAAGGCCUUGGGUUCAAUUCCCAGCACCAA
This 70-nucleotide transfer RNA is filed under the name Marmota marmota marmota (Alpine marmot). It matches the Rfam family "tRNA". From Rfam's summary of the family: Transfer RNA (tRNA) molecules are approximately 80 nucleotides in length. Their secondary structure includes four short double-helical elements and three loops (D, anti-codon, and T loops). Lineage: Eukaryota; Metazoa; Chordata; Mammalia; Rodentia; Sciuridae. RNAcentral also lists the same sequence under 1 other name. The record is from Rfam by way of RNAcentral.